AUACGGAGGGUGCAAGCGUUAAUCGGAAUUACUGGGCGUAAAGCGUACGUAGGCGGUUCGUUAAGUUAGAUGUGAAAGCCCCGGGCUUAACCUGGGAACUGCAUUUAAAACUGGCGAACUAGAGUUGAGUAGAGGGGAGUGGAAUUUCAGGUGUAGCGGUGAAAUGCGUAGAGAUCUGAAGGAACACCAGUGGCGAAGGCGACUCCCUGGACUCGAACUGACGCUGAGGUACGAAAGCGUGGGUAGCAAACGGGAUUAGAUACCCUUGUAGUCC
This 274-nucleotide ribosomal RNA is filed under the name uncultured bacterium. RNAcentral describes it as "partial 16S ribosomal RNA". It matches the Rfam family "Bacterial small subunit ribosomal RNA", at positions 523 to 796 of the family's 1533-position model. The record is from RNAcentral.